Molecule: long non-coding RNA, 384 nt
Organism: Astyanax mexicanus (Mexican tetra)
Lineage: Eukaryota; Metazoa; Chordata; Actinopteri; Characiformes; Acestrorhamphidae
Exons: 4
Source: RefSeq, a predicted model, not a curated record
AGGAGGAGGAGGGGGAAAUAGAGAGAGAGAGAGCUGCUAAUACUCCUCCUCACCCCUGAGUCACUCAGCUCCUCUACACUGAGGGGCAGCAGUGUGAUGGCCACGCUGAGACGGCCACUUCCGAGACUGACCAGAUGGGGGCGCUCUGCCUGGACCUUCAGCCCGUUUCCUGUCUCAAUCAGGUCCAGUGGGGUGCUCUGUGGAGGCAAGCAAAGGAUUACAAGUGUUGCUCAGGUUGAUCUCGGGGGGAAGGCAGGGAGCAGCUGGGAGAACAGUGACAGGGAAUGAAUACUUUGUGGCAGAGCACAUCAUGUUAAACAUCAUGAUAAGCUGAUGAGAGAAAGGAAAGUUCUACCUGAAAGCGAACCUUCUUCAACAUCAUGU